This 464-nucleotide ribosomal RNA is filed under the name uncultured bacterium. RNAcentral's name for it is "partial 16S ribosomal RNA". It matches the Rfam family "Bacterial small subunit ribosomal RNA", at positions 28 to 507 of the family's 1533-position model. The record is from RNAcentral.
GACGAACGCUGGCGGCGUGCUUAACACAUGCAAGUCGAACGGUAAGGCCCUUUCGGGGGUACACGAGUGGCGAACGGGUGAGUAACACGUGGGUGAUCUGCCCUGCACUUUGGGAUAAGCCUGGGAAACUGGGUCUAAUACCGGAUAGGACUACGCGAUGCAUGUCGUGUGGUGGAAAGCUUUUGCGGUGUGGGAUGGGCCCGCGGCCUACCAGCUUGUUGGUGGGGUGAUGGCCUACCAAGGCGACGACGGGUAGCCGGCCUGAGAGGGUGUCCGGCCACACUGGGACUGAGAUACGGCCCAGACUCCUACGGGAGGCAGCAGUGGGGAAUAUUGCACAAUGGGCGCAAGCCUGAUGCAGCGACGCCGCGUGGGGGAUGACGGCCUUCGGGUUGUAAACCCCUUUCAGCACAGACGAAGCGUAAGUGACGGUAUGUGCAGAAGAAGCACCGGCCAACUACGUG